UGGGUAACCUGCCUCAAAGAGGGGAAUAGCCUCCCCGAAAAGGGAGAUUAAUACCGCAUAAUAUGUUUAAGUCGCAUGACUUUAACAUCAAAGGAUUUUCUUUUAAGAAAUUCCACUUUGAGAUGGACCCGCGGCGCAUUAGCUAGUUGGUGAGGUAACGGCUCACCAAGGCAACGAUGCGUAGCCGACCUGAGAGGGUNAUCCGGCCACAGUUGGAAACUGAGACACGGUCCAGACUCCGUAGG
RNAcentral lists this ribosomal RNA (245 nucleotides) under uncultured bacterium. Its description in RNAcentral is "partial 16S ribosomal RNA". It matches the Rfam family "Bacterial small subunit ribosomal RNA", at positions 118 to 344 of the family's 1533-position model. The record is from RNAcentral.